Onychostoma macrolepis is the source of this 3806-nucleotide long non-coding RNA. RefSeq lists it as uncharacterized. The transcript is spliced from 3 exons. Lineage: Eukaryota; Metazoa; Chordata; Actinopteri; Cypriniformes; Cyprinidae. The record is from RefSeq and is a predicted model, not a curated record.
UUUGUCUUGAGAUUGUCCAGAUAAUACUUUAAUAUUUUUUAGUUUUUAGUACAGUUCUAAAUUUUCAAAGGCAUUUUUAAAAAUAUUUAUUUUUAUUAAUAAUAUUACUAAUAAUAUUUUUCACUUUAUUUUUCAUCAUAUUGGUUGGUUCUUGCUCUGAACUAAACACUGUCAUGAAAUACAUUUUUUUCCAUGCCGUUUUUUUAUUGUGGUAUCAGCUAUUGCAUGUAAAUUACACUUAGAAAUCUUUGGUUGGUCAAUGUACAUGGCAGUCAGACGACCUCUUCCUAUCUAGGUGGGCAGUUUUUGGUCACAGGUCAGAAGUCUGUAUUUAUAAGAUAAAAAAACAUUUGUAACCUGGCUCGGGUCUAAUGUUUUGAGACACUGGUUUCUCACUUAGUAUCUUGGCUGAGGUGGUUUAACUGAGCUGGAUUAUAGUGGUCUUAAUUAACGGUCAUUAGAGAGCAGUGAGGAGACAUGCUUCAUUAAAUCCCACCACCUCGGGCACGAGGGAAGCCAGCGGAUCGUACCCAUCCUAAACCUACUUCACAACACAACCUCAGCACGCUCAUGUGGUUUCAGCUGCGUCAUAAAAUUAUAGACUGCUUUUUCAAUUACUCUGCUACUGUGAGAGUAGAGAACUGUUCACUCAAUCACAGAUGAUGGCAUAUAACAUACAGUUCAGUACAACUAUAUGUGUGCAGUUUAAUAAGUCAGCGUUGAGAAUACAACUAGACACCAUUGUGUUUCAGAUUCCAUCGUCUUUUUUUUUUUUUUGACCUGAAAAGUUAUUCCACUCAACAGCUAGUAAGCGUAGACUUGUAUUGAAGCGUACUGAACACUUUAGUUUCUUAUCAUAUGCCAAGAGCAGUCGCCAGGCACUUCACAAUCUCUUAAAGUUCUCAUCCAGCUUUCUGAAGAAUUUUUCUCAUUAUUUUACACUUGUAAAACACAUUGUUAUUUUGAGGUGCGAUGGAGUUUAUAGUGAUGGACUCUGACUGGACACAACAGCAGGUAUAUUGUAGUAAUCUCUUUGUAUUUCUAAAAAAUAAAAGUGAAGUUAUCAACAUUUAGUAAAGCAUUGACCUAUUACAUGCUAAUAUUGACAUUUGAGAGCUUUUUGUACGUGAAUUUCAAUGCAUAAGAUUGCAUUUUAAAUGUUUCCUUUUUGCAGCUUGACAGUGUGCAUAAUUAUCGGCCUUUACUGUAUGGAAAAGAGGAGUUCAAAUAUACUGCAAAAAAAAAAAAGGUCAUGCAUACAAUAUUGAAAGAACAAAAUGCUUGAUAAUGUGCAUAAUCAAAUUUAAUUUGACGGAAAAGAGGAGUUCAAAUAUAUGUUAAAACAUCUCUUUUUAAAAAAAAAAAAAGAAGAAUGCAUGCACAUUUGUAAGAACACAAGGGUGAGUAAAUGAUGACAGAAUUUUCCUGUUUCAGCUGAAAUAAUGUUAAUUUUAAGGUGUUUCUUUGUCCUUUUCACAGCUUGAUAGUGUGCAUAAUCGUCAACUUUCAUUGUAUGGAAAAGAGGAGUUCAAAUAUUCUGCAAAACAUCUCUUUCUGCAUGCAGGUUUGGAACAACACAAGGGUUGAAAGACAUGCUCUGUUUUUCCAUGUAAAGGGCCUUGAGUCCAAAGGAAAAAUUGUGCCGAGUCUCAACGCUGCCGGACCUCUCCAAGCUUCUGUGAUGCAGAACCGAAUCCGAGAGCUGUGGUUUGAACCAUAAAUCCAAACAUAUAUGGAGUCCUUUCGCCAAAAUAAGCUUCAGAUAAUGCAGUGGAUCUGUCCACAGGGCACACAUACUCUUAGCUGCUGUGUCUUUUGGACGAAACAAAACCAGUGGCUUUGAGAAGCAGAUUAUAAGGAGACGCUUCUCUCCCUCCCGUCUGGCCGCAGAGCCGCUGGGUGCGUGAGUGAGUCGUCUUAAGGAGUCUUGCAGCAGAUCAGUUGCUCACUCACUGUGUGUUCCAGAGCAAAGCCUCACACCUGGCUUGCCAAACGCAACAGAGGUCACGUCUGGACGCUCGCCCUCCCUCCAUUGUGUCUCACAGAGCUGUUGUCUCUCAAUCAUAUACAUUAACUUUGGCUGCUUUACGUUUAUUUUUGAAUUUUUGCAUUUCCACUGCAAUGUCCAGUUCAAACUUAAACCCAAAACAGUUUUUAAGCACAAACUUUCUAUACAUUUCACUUUCAAUACAUUUAUAAAUUUCACUAUUGAGCUUUUUACUUCUCAGUGGUGAUUUUCAUUAAGAUUCUCUUUAUUGCAAUAAAGUACUGUGGAAUUUUCAAUCAGCAUAAAUUAAAGCCGAUUUAACAGCAACUACUAUGAACAUGAAUACCUUUCAAUUUAAAUUGUCAUUUUUUUUUUUUACAUUAUAUUAACAAAAAUUUGAUUAUGAUUAAUUGAUUUAUUUUUUAUUUAAUGUAUUUCUCUGCUUGUAUGCAAUAAUAAUUAAUGGGGUAACUGCUUAAAAAUAGGUGAGUCUCAUAUCAAGAUCUCAGUUCUUCCAAAAUGUAAAAAAAAGCAUAACAUUUUUUGCAUACAUUUAAUGGGGUCUACUUUAGGACCAUUAAGAUUUUUUGUAACUUUUUUAAUGACAGUUGAGUAGAAUAUCCUCAAAAUUCAUUGCUGUAAUGCAUCCACAUGUUUACUUUUGACCAUUUCUUUGUAAUUUUAUUAUUUUCAAUAGUGAUUCUAUCUAGACUUUUUUUUUAACCUAGCACAAAUUGAAGUAUAACUAAAGUCCAUAACAAACAUUACCAUAUUUAAAUUUACUAUUUAAAUUAUACAUAAUUAUUUUUCUCAGAUUAAAAUAAUUUCUGUAAUUAGAUUUUUGGCCGAAAUUGUCAAGAACAUGAUGUCAAAAUGAAAUGUAUGCAUGUAUUUAUUUAUUUAUAUCCAUAAAACUUCCUUUAAACAAAAUAUAUAUAUCAUUGAUUUUUAGGUGGAAUAUGAACCAGACAAGUUCACUACACCCACAACAUUUAUCCUUAAAAAUCUUAAAAAUGAUAUAUAUAGACCAGUAGUAUCCAGCUUAGUAUCUGUGAUCUGUGUGAGCAUAAAAUCAGUCAUGUUACACCUCUGAGUGUUCGCAGACUGUUUGUAAGUGCUUGAACAACAAAACUGACAACAGAGGUUUUGUUUUUCCAAAGCGUUUUUAUUGUCUGUACGCUUAAAACUAAUUUACGAAGGUCAGCGUUUAUAACCACAGCACAGAAACCUUGUUGGCCGAUGCAUUUUCUCAGAAAAUAUUCCCCACUCUGACUGGAGAACGACCAGCCACAAAUCCCGGUCUUGGCCCAAGUAUUUGCUGAAUGUGCAAAAAAAAUAAAACAAAAAAGAGGAGAACGGUGGGCUGCCAUGCAAAUUAAGUGCAGAUUCUGUCUAUAUGACUUUUUUUGAGUAUGUGUGUAAUAAGAGAAAAAAAGAGAAGGAUGAAAAAUAGAGAGAAAUAAAUAGAGAGAAACUGGCAGAAGUCAUUGUUUCACUUGGCUGCGAACGGCGCUGUAUGGUUACAGCCCAGUCAUUAUCCAGGAAUUCUGAGCUGAGACGAAAAACCUUGACGCCUCUCUUUCUCUUUCUCCUUUCCCUACUUCAUAUCCAGGGCUAGAAGUAAUUUAAAGAGAAUUUGAAUUUACUUACAAAACCCCAAAGAAUUGUGACAUGCAGCCAGGGGGACCAUUUGAUGUGAUUUGUGGCACCAGCCAUGUUCAGACCCCAAGAAACCAAGAGUGAAUUUGGGUUAAAUAAUGGAAACCAAAGUCAAGCCUGAAAAAUUAAUGGUAUCAAUAAUUUGAUACCCUAGGCAUGA